Molecule: ribosomal RNA, 423 nt
Filed under: uncultured bacterium
Lineage: Bacteria
Description: partial 16S ribosomal RNA
Rfam family: Bacterial small subunit ribosomal RNA
Source: RNAcentral
GAAUUUUGGACAAUGGGCGAAAGCCUGAUCCAGCAAUGCCGCGUGCAGGAUGAAGGCGUUCGGGUUGUAAACUGCUUGUGUACGGAACGAAAAGCUUUGGGUUAAUACCCUGGAGUCAUGACUGUACCGUCAGAAUAAGCACCGGCGAACUACGUUCCAGCAGCCGCGGUAACACGUAGGGGGCAAGCGUUAAUCGGAAUUACUGGGCGUUAAGCGUGAGCAGGCGGUUUUGUCAGACAGAGGUGAAAUCCCCGGGCUCAACCUGGGAACUGCCUUUGUGACGGCAAGGCUAGAGUACGGCAGAGGGGGGUGGAAUGCCGCGUGUAGCAGUGAAAUGCGUAGAUAUGCGGAGGAACACCGAUGGCGAAGGCAACCCCCUGGGCCUGUACUGACGCUCAUGCACGAAAGCGUGGGGAGCAAACA